This 209-nucleotide unclassified non-coding RNA is filed under the name Pseudomonas asturiensis. Its description in RNAcentral is "Pseudomonas sRNA P29". Lineage: Bacteria; Pseudomonadati; Pseudomonadota; Gammaproteobacteria; Pseudomonadales; Pseudomonadaceae. The record is from RNAcentral.
AAGCUACUGGGGGAGCCGAAGCUCCCCCAAAGUGUGUGCUCUUUAUUAUUGUUUUCUGUACGGGCUUUUUGUUUUUGUUGAGUGCCCAUUCACGAGACUUUCGUCUGUGAAACCUCCCAAUCGGGAGUCAAGAGCAAACGGAUUGCUUUGGUCGCUGCGUUGCAAUGAUCGUUCGAUCCAACCAGUUCAGGCGCUACCUAAGGGUAGUU